AGAGUUUGAUCCUGGCUCAGAUUGAACGCUGGCGGUAGGCUUAACACAUGCAAGUCGUGCGAGAAAGUAUCUUCGGAUAUGAGUAGAGCGGCGGACGGGUGAGUAACGCGUAGGAAUCUACCUAGUAGAAGGGGAUAGCCCGAGGAAACUCGGAUUAAUACCGUAUACCUCCUUCGGGAGAAAGAAGGCCUCUCUUUGAAGCUUUCGCUACUAGAUGAGCCUGCGUAAGAUUAGCUUGUUGGUGAGGUAAAGGCUCACCAAGGCUACGAUCUUUAGCGGGUCUGAGAGGACGAUCCGCCACAUUGGGACUGAGACACGGCCCAGACUCCUACGGGAGGCAGCAGUGGGGAAUAUUGGACAAUGGGCGAAAGCCUGAUCCAGCCAUACCGCGUGUGUGAAGAAGGCCCUAGGGUUGUAAAGCACUUUAAGUUGGGAAGAAAAGUUAUUGGUUAAUACCCAAUGACCGUGACAUUACCAUCAGAAUAAGGACCGGCUAAUUCCGUGCCAGCAGCCGCGGUAAUACGGAAGGUCCAAGCGUUAAUCGGAAUUACUGGGCGUAAAGCGCGCGUAGGUGGUUUAUUAAGUUGGGUGUGAAAUCCCCGGGCUCAACCUGGGAACUGCAUCCAAAACUGAUUCACUAGAGUACGAUAGAGGGAGGUAGAAUUCACAGUGUAGCGGUGGAAUGCGUAGAUAUUGUGAAGAAUACCAAUGGCGAAGGCAGCCUCCUGGAUCUGUACUGACACUGAGGUGCGAAAGCGUGGGUAGCGAACAGGAUUAGAUACCCUGGUAGUCCACGCCGUAAAC
Molecule: ribosomal RNA, 804 nt
Filed under: uncultured Gammaproteobacteria bacterium
Lineage: Bacteria; Pseudomonadati; Pseudomonadota; Gammaproteobacteria
Description: bacterial SSU rRNA
Rfam family: Bacterial small subunit ribosomal RNA
Source: RNAcentral